This 329-nucleotide unclassified non-coding RNA is filed under the name soil metagenome. Its description in RNAcentral is "partial contains 5.8S ribosomal RNA, internal transcribed spacer 2, and large subunit ribosomal RNA". The stretch from base 1 to 120 matches the Rfam family "5.8S ribosomal RNA", at positions 35 to 154 of the family's 154-position model. The record is from RNAcentral.
GAUGAAGAACGUAGCGAAAUGCGAUAAGUAGUGUGAAUUGCAGAAUUCAGUGAAUCAUCGAAUCUUUGAACGCACAUUGCGCCCCUUGGUAUCCCGAGGGGCAUGCCUGUUCGAGCGUCAUUUCACCACUCAAGCCUGGCUUGGUGUUGGGCGACGUCCUCUUUGGGGACGCGCCUCGAAACGCUCGGCGGCGUGGCACCGGCUUUAAGCGUAGCAGAAUCUUUCGCUUUGGAAGUCGGGGCCCCGUCUGCCGGAAGACCUGCUCGCAAGGUUGACCUCGGAUCAGGCGGGGAUACCCGCUGAACUUAAGCAUAUCAAUAAGCGGAGGA